GUGGGUAUAGCUCAGUUGGUUAGAGCGUUAGAUUGUGGUUCUAAAGGUCACGAGUUCAAAUCUCGUUACCCACC
RNAcentral lists this transfer RNA (74 nucleotides) under Ancyromonas sigmoides. RNAcentral describes it as "tRNA-His". It matches the Rfam family "tRNA". From Rfam's summary of the family: Transfer RNA (tRNA) molecules are approximately 80 nucleotides in length. Their secondary structure includes four short double-helical elements and three loops (D, anti-codon, and T loops). The record is from RNAcentral. Lineage: Eukaryota; Ancyromonadida; Ancyromonadidae.